CGGCGGCGGCGGCGGCGGCGGCGGCGCUUGGGGGAGGGCGGCAGCAGGCCGUGAGGCUUGUCCUUGUCCCUGUCCCUUCACCAGCCUGAAGGCCCGAGGCCUCGCCUCUUUCCCGGCGUCGCUCCCUCCCGGGGCGUCCUGCCCGUGGCGGCGCUCCCGGGCCCAUGGCGCUGCCCUCGGUGCACAGGUGUCUCCAAUGUUCAAGUUCAAACAGAAUCCCACUUAUGGCAUAAGGGUGGACACAGCAAGGAUCUCAAUCUAGAGAGUGAAAGUGUCAGACUACUUCAGAUGUAUAAUAAUCUCCAGAAAUGUUACAUUAAAGAAAUCAAAACAAACAAGGAGCAAAGUGAAACAAUUAAAAAUCUCACUAUUAAAAUUCAUGAGCUAGAGCAUAAUCUUCGAGAGCAGAGACAAAGAAUUGAGCAAUUGGAAUGUAGAAAGGUUUCUAAGAAGGCUAGAGUUGUUUCUGAAAAAAGAAGUCAAACCUCAGAGGGAGAAGUAACAUCUUGCAGGCACAUACAUAAAAAGAAGGAAUCGUGUUGCAGUAAAUACUUAGAGCUAUUGUUGAAGGAGAUUAAGAAGCUGAAGAAAGAAAAUGAAAAGUUGUCUACAGAAAGGAGAGCACUAAGAAAUGAAUUAGCUGGAUUAGACAAGGAUUUUUUUGAAGAGAUAGAAGAUUUAAAGCAUGCUGUACAGGAAUCUGUGAAACUGAAUAAUCAGUAUGAGAAGUGUUUGAAACAAAUAUAUGCAAUUUAUGGACUUCCUUUAACAACACCUUUGUGA
This 783-nucleotide long non-coding RNA is filed under the name Dromaius novaehollandiae (emu). RNAcentral describes it as "lncRNA (ENSDNVG00000010442.1)". The record is from RNAcentral. Lineage: Eukaryota; Metazoa; Chordata; Aves; Casuariiformes; Dromaiidae.